Molecule: long non-coding RNA, 1218 nt
Organism: Falco peregrinus (peregrine falcon)
Lineage: Eukaryota; Metazoa; Chordata; Aves; Falconiformes; Falconidae
Exons: 2
Source: RefSeq, a predicted model, not a curated record
UUUUUUCCUCUUUUUUUUCUUUGGGGCCACACUGCUUGGCCUAGUCCCUUUUUACCCCCAUGUGUAGUGAACAGCAUGCUGAAUAACUGCAGUGGUUUCCUCCCAGCAAGGCAGCAUACAGUGGCAGACCUCAGUCAUUUCCAGUCUUGAAACUGGCAAGAGCUAGCAUGUGUUCUGCAGUCUGGGUCCACUAACCUGCUAAAAUUAGAUGCCCUAACCAUUGCAGUAUUUUUUCCUUAUCAUAACAUGCAAUUUUGCCCUUGUUAUUUUGUAGAAUGUAAUGCUUUACAUUUGAACAAGCAUGUCCUCUAUGAUGGGGUUCUGGUUUUCCUCCUUUUUAGACAAGCCAAAUAACUGGCGGGGGUGGCAGGGUGGGUGUAUAGCAGGGAAAUGGGCAGGUGCUUGGAGUAAUUUCCGUUGCUUAUGUUUUCCUGUUUCAUUUUGUUUGAGUUUUGUUGUUGUUUAAGGGAUUCUCACCAUUAUUUCCCCAGAAUUAGACUGUAUUUAGGAGCUUUAUUUUAACCAUCCUGUGUCAGUACUAAAACAGUAGGUCCAGAGCAGCAGAUAAAUGUUGAGACACCAGAUGACUUUUUUGGGGGGUUUCAUGUCGUCCUGCAGGCUGAGCUAACGGAUUGAAGACCCUUAAUAGUAAUGGACAGCGCAGGCUCCAAGGAAUUGGAACUUUGUCAAAAGUUUAAGCUGUUGUCACUCUUGAAAGGAAACUUUGAAGACAGAUACUUGGGAGAGGAAAAAACCAAGAGGAUAGCUCAUCAGGAAACUCGCAACUGGAUGUGAUGUAGCUGCUUUAAAAGUAAAGGUUGAAGGGAAACUAAAACCAUACCAAUCCUAAGGCUACUUCAGACACCAAGAAAUAGCAGAGGGGAAAAGAAAAAAAACCCACACAAAUCUAUGCAGCAGUUGUCUUUGUGAUGGUGAUGACUAAGCCAGAGAGAUCAAAAGCCGUGAGGUGGUUUUCUGAAGACUGAAACUGAGUGAACAGUAAAGACAGCCUGAGAGAAAGUAAGCAAUCACAUUGUGUUGGUGUUAUGCUUGAUUCUAAGACUGUAAUUCCUGUUGCCCAAAUUGGAGCCCUGCCAUGUUUGCAGAGUUUGAACUUCAUCAUGCUGUCUUGUUUUGCUGCCUGUGUGAGCUCUUAAGAGUUCAGAUUGUGUUAAAUGCUGUACAUUGUUAUGUCUUUGAAAGAUAUUUUCCACUAUA